GGAGGGUGCGAGCGUUGUUCGGAAUCACUGGGCGUAAAGCGCGUGUAGGCGGCCCGCUAAGUCUGAUGUGAAAGCCCGAGGCUCACCCUCGGAAGUGCAUUGGAAACUGGCGGACUGGAGUCCCGGAGAGGAGGGUGGAAUUCCUGGUGUAGCGGUGAAAUGCGUAGAUAUCAGGAGGAACACCGGUGGCGAAGGCGGCCCUCUGGACGGUGACUGACGCUGAGACGCGAAAGCGUGGGGAGCAAACAGGAUUAGAUACCCUGGUAGUCCACGCUGUAAACGAUGAGCACUAGGUGUCGCGGGUAUUGACCCCUGCGGUGCCGCCGCUAACGCAUUAAGUGCUCCGCCUGGGGACUACGGCCGCAAGGUUAAA
This 373-nucleotide ribosomal RNA is filed under the name uncultured bacterium. RNAcentral describes it as "bacterial SSU rRNA". It matches the Rfam family "Bacterial small subunit ribosomal RNA", at positions 527 to 898 of the family's 1533-position model. The record is from RNAcentral.